UUCGAGUGGCGGACGGGUGAGUAACGCGUGGGUAACCUGCCUUACACAGGGGGAUAACACCUGGAAACAGGUGCUAAUACCGCAUAAGCGCACAGGGCCGCAUGGCCCGGUGUGAAAAACUCCGGUGGUGUAAGAUGGACCCGCGUCUGAUUAGCUUGUUGGCGGGGUAGGGGCUCACCAAGGCGACGAUCAGUAGCCGGCCUGAGAGGGUGGACGGCCACAUUGGGACUGAGACACGGCCCAAACUCCUACGGGAGGCAGCAG
Molecule: ribosomal RNA, 264 nt
Filed under: uncultured bacterium
Lineage: Bacteria
Description: partial 16S ribosomal RNA
Rfam family: Bacterial small subunit ribosomal RNA
Source: RNAcentral